This 237-nucleotide ribosomal RNA is filed under the name uncultured bacterium. RNAcentral's name for it is "partial 16S ribosomal RNA". It matches the Rfam family "Bacterial small subunit ribosomal RNA", at positions 118 to 347 of the family's 1533-position model. The record is from RNAcentral.
UGAGUAACCUGCCCUUAACUCUGGGAUAAGCCUGGGAAACUGGGUCUAAUACCGGAUAUGACUCCUCAUCGCAUGGGUGGGGGGUGGAGAGCUUUAUUGUGGUUUUGGAUGGACUCGCGGCCUAUCAGCUUGUUGGUGAGGUAAUGGCUCACCAAGGCGACGACGGGUAGCCGGCCUGAGAGGGUGACCGGCCACACGUGGGACUGAGACACGGCCCAGACCUCCGUACGGGAGCAG